GCCUGGGUGGCUUCGUUGGUUAAGCACCUGACUUCGGCUCAGGUCAUGAUCUCACGGUUUAUGGGUUCAAACCCCAUGUCGGACU
Molecule: transfer RNA, 85 nt
Organism: Felis catus (domestic cat)
Lineage: Eukaryota; Metazoa; Chordata; Mammalia; Carnivora; Felidae
Rfam family: tRNA
About the family: Transfer RNA (tRNA) molecules are approximately 80 nucleotides in length. Their secondary structure includes four short double-helical elements and three loops (D, anti-codon, and T loops). Further hydrogen bonds mediate the characteristic L-shaped molecular structure. tRNAs have two regions of fundamental functional importance: the anti-codon, which is responsible for specific mRNA codon recognition, and the 3' end, to which the tRNAs corresponding amino acid is attached (by aminoacyl-tRNA synthetases). tRNAs cope with the degeneracy of the genetic code in two manners: having more than one tRNA (with a specific anti-codon) for a particular amino acid; and 'wobble' base-pairing, i.e. permitting non-standard base-pairing at the 3rd anti-codon position.
Source: Rfam